This 2757-nucleotide long non-coding RNA is filed under the name Actinia tenebrosa (Australian red waratah sea anemone). Its description in RNAcentral is "uncharacterized LOC116305192". The record is from RNAcentral. Lineage: Eukaryota; Metazoa; Cnidaria; Anthozoa; Actiniaria; Actiniidae.
CAGACGAGAAAACCAAAAAGACGUCAGACUUCGCAUUCAGCGCCAUCGGAGGCACAUCCAAAGCAUAUCAUACUAAAGAUGGACGAGUCGCCAUGGAUGUUGGUUUGGAUAUAAUCAACAAAGGAGUGGACACGUUUGCAGACGAGAAAACCAAAAUGUGGAGAGAAAAAGUUGAAAUGAGUAAACACGGAGAAGUUGACAAGUAUCGAAGACCAGUUAGUUAUAGUGAAGGAAACCAUGCGUGCUGGUCUGCGUCCUUAGCACCUCAUCAUGGCAGAGCAUCUCGUAGGAAACAUGGCAGGUGUUCGUUAAAUCCGCGCAAGAUAGAUGUUGACAGGUUUGUGGCGGUUAUUUGUAACAGAGAGAGGGAGGAAAAAUGCACAUGCUAGUUUUCUACUUCAUGUAUGAAAGACCAGCAAAGCACUGGAUUAGUUUAAUAAUGGAUCUAUCAAUAAAUGGCUAGCUACAACAAUAGUGGUCUGCAGGCAACUGCGUACAUAUAGCUGAUAACGUUUAGUGUUUAACAAUUAUCAUUUGACAAAGCAACAGUUUCCCAGCAGCUGAUUUUAUAAAAGUUAAAGACUUUGCAACUGCUGAUGGCUUGGGGGAAAUUUGAGUAACGAACUAAUAUAAGUGUACAAUUUGUUAUGGCUUUGUCCACCUCGCAAACCGAACAAGAAAAAAAUGGAUACCACGACAAUUAUGAAGACUAGUACUACUAUCCGAGCGCAGUAAAAACCGCGAGUUCUAGCUCUGUGCAUCGGCAAAUCCAAGUUACCUAAAACAGCUAAUAGGGAACGGUGAAAGAGGAAAUGUUGGCUUUUAUUCACGCGGUGCACAUGGUUCUAAGGAGGAAGCUCCCGAGUGGAUCCCGAGUAAGCCAGAAAAUUUUUCUUUCUCGUCACCACUGUUUUUGAUGAUCACAGACACAUUUACUCAGGUUUAGCUUCCUUCAUAAGUUAGCCCGGCAAUGAUCACAGAUACCAUUAGUGAUAUUUCAACCUCAUUCUUUUUUCAUUUUUGCGAAUGUUCUGCUCUUGCAACAUGGCUAAGCCUGCGAUUCUGUGUUAAAAGUUCAGAACAGUAUUCACUAAAUAUCUCAAAAAGAAGUCAUGUCAGACAUUGUAAUGUUAUUCAUGCUACUGUCAGACAUUUUCGAAGGUUUACCAAACUUCAUUCGACGGCGAGGGUGAGGGGAAAAACUGGGUCGAGUUGGCAUCGUAGCCAUAGAAAUAUGUCCCCUGCAAAGUCAACUCAACCCAAUUUUCCCUCAAUAUAUGUUUAGAAUAAGUUAUGUCUACUAACUUUCAAGUUUGAUAUAUUUGUAGUUUAUUCUCCACUUUCACAUCCCCAUGAUACUUCGUAUGCAUUUUUGCGGGGUAGGAGCCAGAGGACAACUGGUCAGUUAAUGAUGCAUAGAAAAAUUAAUACACGGGGGCGUACGUAUAUACUUAGGGUCGUGUUCCGGGGGUUUCAGAAACCCCCUUUCCCAUAAAAUUUUGUAGUGACCAAAUUUUAUCAAAAUAGAUUGUUUUGUAAAAAAAAACUGCUAGGAAUAGACCGUUUUCUCAAGGUUGCAUGCGCAUCCAACUUGACGGGCCAUAAAACUGAAAAACGCAAAUUUAGUAAAAUUGGAUUUUAUGAAUUCUUAUCGAAAAAAAAGAUCAUAGCAAUGCAUGAUAAUACUCGUGUUCUGGUAUCGUGGGCCGUCAAGUUCCUUAAAUUAGGAGCCAGAGGACAAACGGUCAGUAAAAUGAUGCAUAGAAAAAUUAAUACACGGGGGCGUACGUAUAUACUUAGGGUUGUGUUCCAGGGGUUUCAGAAACCCCCGUCCCCCUUAAUUUUGUAGUGACCAAAUUUNAUCAAAAUAGAGUGUUUUCCAAAAACUGCUAGGAACUUGGGAUAAGAAAGUUUUUGUAGUUUAACUUGGAACUUUUUUUAGCAAUAUCUGAUAUCCGGAGCUCAGGAGGCCAGGCUCUCUCGUUCCAGUGCUUCUCGUUUGUAGACGUCACCUCCGUCCUCCUCGACGCUCCUUGAGCACUGGGUCUAGAGGAUCUCUGCCAACUACGUUAGCUUUUCAUGUACUGAAUAUUAUAUANCCGUUCGGAGGUUGAGAGAAAGACUUCAAGUUGGUUGGUUCAAGUUGGCUUUGCAAUGCAGUGUGCGGCUGUUUUAGUGGACANAUUUCCAAGAUGACGUCUAAUUCUUCCCCUAAAACAGUCCCAUAUACACUGGAAAUCCAACUUGACCCAUUCUUUUACUUGGCCUCGAAAUGGCUAAUUGAUGGUUUUUACGGCGGCCAUGUUGGAGGGACUUAACAAAACAAUUGUCAAUGAAUUCUUUUGUCAUAUCCUCCAACAUGGCUGCCGUGUCUUUUGUUAUUUGAUUCUCUUGGGAAUGGUUGAAAACCAUCAAUAGACGUAUAUAUGUAUAUAAUAACCACCGCACAUCAUUAAUAUCGUGUUCGUCUGCUUUACUAUAUUUUUGAGCUUAAAAAGUUACCGCCAAAAUAGAGUGCAAACAAUAUGACCGUGAAACUUUAGAAAUACUAAAUAGCACAAUUUCAUGCAAAUUCCAUUGUUUUCUAUUGUUUAAUUAGCACUAUUUUGUACUAUUUAGUAAUUAGUGUUUCACGGAUUUAUUGUUUGCACUCUAUUGACCUGUAUUUGUUUUCUCUAGUUUCAUUUUAGGUUGAUUUGUAAUUGUUUCGCUAAUUGGUUUGCUUAUUAUAUUAUAGACCUAACCACUAGUAUCGAA